RNAcentral lists this transfer RNA (90 nucleotides) under Micavibrio sp. RNAcentral's name for it is "tRNA-Ser". It matches the Rfam family "tRNA". From Rfam's summary of the family: Transfer RNA (tRNA) molecules are approximately 80 nucleotides in length. Lineage: Bacteria; Pseudomonadati; Bdellovibrionota; Bdellovibrionia; Bdellovibrionales; Pseudobdellovibrionaceae. The record is from RNAcentral.
GGACAGAUGGCAGAGUGGUUGAAUGCACUAGUCUUGAAAACUAGCGUGGGCGCAAGUCUACCCAGGGUUCGAAUCCCUGUCUGUCCGCCA